Molecule: long non-coding RNA, 379 nt
Filed under: Carica papaya (papaya)
Lineage: Eukaryota; Viridiplantae; Streptophyta; Magnoliopsida; Brassicales; Caricaceae
Description: long non-coding RNA (CPAP_LNC012406)
Source: RNAcentral
AAAAAGGGUGGAAAAGUUCCUUUUUUUAUAAAAAAAAGAAGAGAAUCGUUGGAUUUAUGACAAAUGUCCUAACUUCGUGAUGAGAGAAAAAUGAUGACAUCAUCUUUAUGUCAUCCACAUCAGUCGGCCAAGGAGGAGGCACAAAUCCCAAGAGGGUGACAUACGUGGCUCGAGGUACCGCAUAUGCAGGCUACUCUACGCACUCAGAUAGUGCGUUGACGCGCGUGUAGGGUGAGGUCCGCAUGCACGUAGGCCAUCCUGUGCGGGAUCUGCAUGCUAGGCAGGUGUUGAGCAGCACGCUUGACGUGCACAUCUGUGUGCAGAUUGGGUGCGGCACGGGUGCCCUGGCCAAUGGGAUGUAUGCCUGCACACACGUCCA